RNAcentral lists this ribosomal RNA (1532 nucleotides) under Mycoplasmatota bacterium. RNAcentral describes it as "bacterial SSU rRNA". It matches the Rfam family "Bacterial small subunit ribosomal RNA". Lineage: Bacteria; Bacillati; Mycoplasmatota. The record is from RNAcentral.
UAUUUGGAGAGUUUGAUCCUGGCUCAGGACGAACGCUGGCGGCAUGCCUAAUACAUGCAAGUCGAACGAACACUUUUAGUGUUAGUGGCGAACGGGUGAGUAACACGUAAGUAACCAACCUAUGAGACGAGGAUAACUACUGGAAACGGUAGCUAAUACUGGAUAGGAUAUAGAAUCAAUGAUUUUAUAUUUAAAGAUGCCUUAAAGCAUCACUGAUAGAUGGGCUUGCGGCGCAUUAGCUAGUUGGUAGGGUAAAGGCCUACCAAGGCGACGAUGCGUAGCCGACCUGAGAGGGUGAACGGCCACACUGGGACUGAGACACGGCCCAGACUCCUACGGGAGGCAGCAGUAGGGAAUCUUCGGCAAUGGACGAAAGUCUGACCGAGCAAUGCCGCGUGAGUGAAGAAGGUCUUCGGAUUGUAAAGCUCUGUUAUUAGGGAAGAAAGAACUUAGCAGGAAAUGGCUAAGAAGUGACGGUACCUAAUGAGAAAGCCACGGCUAACUACGUGCCAGCAGCCGCGGUAAUACGUAGGUGGCGAGCGUUGUCCGGAAUUAUUGGGCGUAAAGCGUGCGUAGGCGGUCUAUUAAGUCUGAUUUGAAAGCCCAUGGCUUAACCAUGGAGGGUGAUUGGAAACUGGUAGACUUGAGUACAGGAGAGGAAGGUGGAAUUCCACGUGUAGCGGUGAAAUGCGUAGAUAUGUGGAGGAACACCGGUGGCGAAGGCGGCCUUCUGGCCUGUGUCUGACGCUGAGGCACGAAAGCGUGGGUAGCAAACAGGAUUAGAUACCCUGGUAGUCCACGCCGUAAACGAUGAGUACUAAGUGUCGGGGGAGACCUCGGUGCUGAAGUUAACGCAUUAAGUACUCCGCCUGGGAAGUACGGUCGCAAGACUGAAACUCAAAGGAAUUGACGGGGACCCGCACAAGCGGUGGAGCAUGUGGUUUAAUUCGACGCAACGCGAAGAACCUUACCAGGCCUUGACAUCCCAAUGACCGGUAUAGAGAUAUACCUUUCCUUUUGGACAUUGGAGACAGGUGGUGCAUGGUUGUCGUCAGCUCGUGUCGUGAGAUGUUGGGUUAAGUCCCGCAACGAGCGCAACCCUUGUUGUUAGUUGCUAACAUUAAGUUGAGGACUCUAACGAGACUGCCAGUGACAAACUGGAGGAAGGUGGGGAUGACGUCAAAUCAUCAUGCCCCUUAUGGCCUGGGCUACACACGUGCUACAAUGGUUAGAACAAAGAGAAGCGAAGCGGAGACGUGAAGCAAACCUCAAAAAACUAAUCUCAGUUCAGAUUGUAGUCUGCAACUCGACUACAUGAAGUCGGAAUCGCUAGUAAUCGCGAAUCAGCAUGUCGCGGUGAAUACGUUCCCGGGUCUUGUACACACCGCCCGUCACACCAUGAGAGUUUGUAACACCCGAAGCCGGUGGCCUAACCUAUUUAUAGGAGGGAGCCGUCUAAGGUGGGACAGAUGAUUGGGGUGAAGUCGUAACAAGGUAUCCCUACGGGAACGUGGGGAUGGAUCACCUCCUUU